GGAUAACCUACCCUUAGGACUGGGAUAACCUUGGGAAACUGAGGCUAAUACCGGAUAGGCAAUUUUUCCUGUAAUGGUUUUUUGUUUAAAUGUUUUUUCGCCUAAGGAUGGGUCUGCGGCCGAUUAGGUAGUUGGUUAGGUAAUGGCUUACCAAGCCGUUGAUCGGUACGGGUUGUGAGAGCAAGAGCCCGGAGAUGGAACCUGAGACAAGGUUCCAGGCCCUACGGGGUGCAGCAGGCGCGAAACCUCCGCAAUGUGAGAAAUCGCGACGGGGGGAUCCCAAGUGCCAUUCUUAACGGGAUGGCUUUUCAUUAGUGUAAAGAGCUUUUGGAAUAAGAGCUGGGCAAGACCGGUGCCAGCCGCCGCGGUAACACCGGCAGCUCUAGUGGUAGCAAUUUUUAUUGGGCCUAAAGCGUCCGUAGCCGGUUUAAUAAGUCUCUGGUGAAAUCCUGUAGCUUAACUGUGGGAAUUGCUGGAGAUACUAUUAGACUUGAGACCGGGAGAGGUUGGGGGUACUCCCAGGGUAGAGGUGAAAUUCUGUAAUCCUGGGAGGACCGCCUGUUGCGAAGGCGUCUAACUGGAACGGUUCUGACGGUGAGGGACGAAAGUUAGGGGCGCGAACCGGAUUAGAUACCCGGGUAGUCCUAACUGUAAACGAUGCGGACUUGGUGUUGGGGGUGGCUUUGAGCUGCUCCAGUGCCGAAGGGAAGCUGUUAAGUCCGCCGCCUGGGAAG
RNAcentral lists this ribosomal RNA (734 nucleotides) under uncultured archaeon. RNAcentral's name for it is "bacterial SSU rRNA". It matches the Rfam family "Archaeal small subunit ribosomal RNA", at positions 102 to 835 of the family's 1478-position model. The record is from RNAcentral.